RNAcentral lists this ribosomal RNA (202 nucleotides) under uncultured bacterium. RNAcentral describes it as "partial 16S ribosomal RNA". It matches the Rfam family "Bacterial small subunit ribosomal RNA", at positions 1132 to 1333 of the family's 1533-position model. The record is from RNAcentral.
UGGGCACUCUGGGGAGACUGCCAGGGACAACCUGGAGGAAGGUGGGGAUGACGUCAAAUCAUCAUGCCCCUUAUGACCUGGGCUACACACGUGCUACAAUGGCGUAAACAAAGGGAAGCGAGCCCGCGAGGUUGAGCAAAUCCCAAAAAUAACGUCCCAGUUCGGAUUGUAGUCUGCAACUCGACUACAUGAAGCUGGAAUC